UUGCUACGGAAUAGCCCAGAGAAAUUUGGAUUAACACCGUAUAGUAUCGUAUUACUGCAUGGUAUUUACGAUUAAAGGUUACGGCAAAAGAUGACUAUGCGUCCUAUUAGCUAGUUGGUAUGGUAACGGCAUACCAAGGCAACGAUAGGUAGGGGCCCUGAGAGGGGGAUCCCCCACACUGGUACUGAGACACGGACCAGACUCCUACGGGAGGCAGCAGUGAGGAAUAUUGGACAAUGGAGGCAACUCUGAUCCAGCCAUGCCGCGUGCAGGAUGACUGCCCUAUGGGUUGUAAACUGCUUUUAUACAGGAAGAAACCGCGCUACGUGUAGCGCUCUGACGGUACUGUAAGAAUAAGGAUCGGCUAACUCCGUGCCAGCAGCCGCGGUAAUACGGAGGAUCCAAGCGUUAUCCGGAAUCAUUGGGUUUAAAGGGUCCGUAGGUGGAUAAUUAAGUCAGGGGUGAAAGUUUGCAGCUCAACUGUAAAAUUGCCCUUGAUACUGGUUAUCUUGAAUCAUUAUGAAGUGGUUAGAAUAUGUAGUGUAGCGGUGAAAUGCAUAGAUAUUACAUAGAAUACCAAUU
This 582-nucleotide ribosomal RNA is filed under the name uncultured bacterium. RNAcentral's name for it is "bacterial SSU rRNA". It matches the Rfam family "Bacterial small subunit ribosomal RNA", at positions 133 to 714 of the family's 1533-position model. The record is from RNAcentral.